GGAUGAAUAGAAUACCUAGAACAAUGAGCCUCUUCAAGAAUCAAUCUGAUCAAAUCACCAACCUUGGGCACACAUAUCCGGCCCUCAAUCCUCAAUACACCCUCGGAGUCAAUCUUAGCCUUCUUGGCUUCACCACUCGUCACCUUGUCCCGGAUGAGACAUAACUUCCCAUCCUCAUACUGAUGCUCUCUAAUCUGCUCCAUCAAAGAUGAAC
Molecule: long non-coding RNA, 214 nt
Filed under: Solanum tuberosum (potato)
Lineage: Eukaryota; Viridiplantae; Streptophyta; Magnoliopsida; Solanales; Solanaceae
Description: long non-coding RNA (STUB_LNC003733)
Source: RNAcentral